CCCUUAGAUGUCCUGGGCCGCACGCGCGUUACACUGAUGCAUUCAACGAGCUUAUAACCUUGACCGAGAGGCCCGGGCAAUCUUGUUAACGUGCAUCGUGAUAGGGAUAGAUUAUUGAAAUUAUUAAUCUUGAACGAGGAAUUCCUAGUAAACGCAGAUCAUCAAUCUGCAUUGAUUACGUCCCUGCCCUUUGUACACACCGCCCGUCGCACCUACCGAUUGGAUGGUCCGGUGAAGCCUCGGGAUUGUGGUUCUUGCCGCUUUAUUGUGGCGUGACCGCGAGAACUUGUCUAAACCUUAUCAUCUAGAGGAAGGUGAAGUCGUAACA
Molecule: ribosomal RNA, 328 nt
Filed under: uncultured eukaryote
Lineage: Eukaryota
Description: partial 18S ribosomal RNA
Rfam family: Eukaryotic small subunit ribosomal RNA
Source: RNAcentral